CUCGGUGGAAGAUCGUCCCU
Molecule: microRNA, 20 nt
Filed under: Bombyx mori (domestic silkworm)
Lineage: Eukaryota; Metazoa; Arthropoda; Insecta; Lepidoptera; Bombycidae
Description: bmo-miR-2774a
Source: miRBase by way of RNAcentral